This 951-nucleotide ribosomal RNA is filed under the name Escherichia coli. RNAcentral describes it as "partial 23S ribosomal RNA". It matches the Rfam family "Bacterial large subunit ribosomal RNA", at positions 203 to 1194 of the family's 2925-position model. The record is from RNAcentral. Lineage: Bacteria; Pseudomonadati; Pseudomonadota; Gammaproteobacteria; Enterobacterales; Enterobacteriaceae.
UAAGUACCCCGAGGAAAAGAAAUCAACCGAGAUUCCCCCAGUAGCGGCGAGCGAACGGGGAGCAGCCCAGAGCCUGAAUCAGUGUGUGUGUUAGUGGAAGCGUCUGGAAAGGCGCGCGAUACAGGGUGACAGCCCCGUACACAAAAAUGCACAUAUUGUGAGCUCGAUGAGUAGGGCGGGACACGUGGUAUCCUGUCUGAAUAUGGGGGGACCAUCCUCCAAGGCUAAAUACUCCUGACUGACCGAUAGUGAACCAGUACCGUGAGGGAAAGGCGAAAAGAACCCCGGCGAGGGGAGUGAAAAAGAACCUGAAACCGUGUACGUACAAGCAGUGGGAGCCUCUUUUAUGGGGUGACUGCGUACCUUUUGUAUAAUGGGUCAGCGACUUAUAUUCUGUAGCAAGGUUAACCGAAUAGGGGAGCCGAAGGGAAACCGAGUCUUAACUGGGCGUUAAGUUGCAGGGUAUAGACCCGAAACCCGGUGAUCUAGCCAUGGGCAGGUUGAAGGUUGGGUAACACUAACUGGAGGACCGAACCGACUAAUGUUGAAAAAUUAGCGGAUGACUUGUGGCUGGGGGUGAAAGGCCAAUCAAACCGGGAGAUAGCUGGUUCUCCCCGAAAGCUAUUUAGGUAGCGCCUCGUGAAUUCAUCUCCGGGGGUAGAGCACUGUUUCGGCAAGGGGGUCAUCCCGACUUACCAACCCGAUGCAAACUGCGAAUACCGGAGAAUGUUAUCACGGGAGACACACGGCGGGUGCUAACGUCCGUCGUGAAGAGGGAAACAACCCAGACCGCCAGCUAAGGUCCCAAAGUCAUGGUUAAGUGGGAAACGAUGUGGGAAGGCCCAGACAGCCAGGAUGUUGGCUUAGAAGCAGCCAUCAUUUAAAGAAAGCGUAAUAGCUCACUGGUCGAGUCGGCCUGCGCGGAAGAUGUAACGGGGCUAAACCAUGCAC